AAGACUAUACUUUCAGGGAUCAUUUCUAUAGUUUGUGACUUGAGAAAUGUGUUUCUAAAGUGUAUGGUCUCGCUGCCCACGAUACUUGGGUCAUCCAUGUUCUCUGUUACUGAUGACUGUUCAUUGUUUCUUUCAUUGACAGUAAGGAAGGAGUAUGAUCUGAGUGGU
This is a small nucleolar RNA of Neogobius melanostomus (round goby), 168 nucleotides long. Its record names the gene U3. It matches the Rfam family "Small nucleolar RNA U3". From Rfam's summary of the family: Small nucleolar RNAs (snoRNAs) are involved in the processing and modification of rRNA in the nucleolus. There are two main classes of snoRNAs: the box C/D class, and the box H/ACA class. U3 snoRNA is a member of the box C/D class. Lineage: Eukaryota; Metazoa; Chordata; Actinopteri; Gobiiformes; Gobiidae. The record is from Ensembl.